RNAcentral lists this ribosomal RNA (274 nucleotides) under uncultured bacterium. Its description in RNAcentral is "partial 16S ribosomal RNA". It matches the Rfam family "Bacterial small subunit ribosomal RNA", at positions 523 to 796 of the family's 1533-position model. The record is from RNAcentral.
AUACGGAGGGUCCAAGCGUUAUCCGGAAUCAUUGGGUUUAAAGGGUCCGUAGGCGGACUAUUAAGUCAGAGGUGAAAUCCCACAGCUCAACUGUGGAACUGCCUUUGAUACUGGUAGUCUUGAGUUAUAUGGAAGUAGAUAGAAUGUGUAGUGUAGCGGUGAAAUGCAUAGAUAUUACACAGAAUACCGAUUGCGAAGGCAGUCUACUACGUAUAUACUGACGCUAAGGGACGAAAGCGUGGGGAGCGAACAGGAUUAGAAACCCCGGUAGUCC